Molecule: ribosomal RNA, 383 nt
Filed under: uncultured eukaryote
Lineage: Eukaryota
Description: partial 18S ribosomal RNA
Rfam family: Eukaryotic small subunit ribosomal RNA
Source: RNAcentral
CAAUAGCGUAUAUUAAAGUUGUUGCAGUUAAAAAGCUCGUAGUUGGAUUUCUGGUGGGAGCGAUCGGUCUGGCGCUUAGCGCGAGUACUUGCAUCGUCUCCGGCCAUCCUUGGGGAGAGUCUGUCUGGCAUUAGGUUGUCGGGCAGAGGAUCCUCAUCGUUUACUGUGAAAAAAUUAGAGUGUUCAAAGCAGGCUUAUGCCGUUGAAUAUAUUAGCAUGGAAUAAUAAGAUAGGACUUUGGUACUAUUUUGUUGGUUUGUGCACCAAAGUAAUGAUUAAUAGGGACAGUUGGGGGUAUUCGUAUUCCGUUGUCAGAGGUGAAAUUCUUGGAUUUACGGAAGACGAACUACUGCGAAAGCAUUUACCAAGGAUGUUUUCAUUAA